Molecule: regulatory RNA element, 113 nt
Organism: Listeria grayi DSM 20601
Lineage: Bacteria; Bacillati; Bacillota; Bacilli; Caryophanales; Listeriaceae
Rfam family: SAM riboswitch aptamer (S box leader)
About the family: The SAM riboswitch is found upstream of a number of genes which code for proteins involved in methionine or cysteine biosynthesis in Gram-positive bacteria. The SAM riboswitch acts at the level of transcription termination control.
Source: Rfam
CUCUUAUUAUGAGUGGUAGAGGGACUGGCCCGAUGAAACCCAGCAACCUUUCAAUUUUUUAUUGAAAAGGUGCUAAUUCCUGCAAAGCUUCAGUAAGCUUUGAGAGAUAAGAG